UACGUAGGGGGCAAGCGUUGUCCGGAAUCAUUGGGCGUAAAGAGCGCGUAGGCGGCCCAGUAAGUCCGCUCUGAAAGUCAGGGGCUCAACCCCUGGAUGCGGGUGGAUACUGCUGGGCUAGAGUCCGGAAGAGGCGAGUGGAAUUCCUGGUGUAGCGGUGAAAUGCGCAGAUAUCAGGAGGAACACCGAUGGCGAAGGCAGCUCGCUGGGACGGUACUGACGCUGAGGCACGAAAGCUAGGGGAGCAAACGGG
This 253-nucleotide ribosomal RNA is filed under the name uncultured bacterium. Its description in RNAcentral is "partial 16S ribosomal RNA". It matches the Rfam family "Bacterial small subunit ribosomal RNA", at positions 524 to 776 of the family's 1533-position model. The record is from RNAcentral.